Molecule: ribosomal RNA, 245 nt
Filed under: uncultured bacterium
Lineage: Bacteria
Description: partial small subunit ribosomal RNA
Rfam family: Bacterial small subunit ribosomal RNA
Source: RNAcentral
AGAAUCAACGCUGGCGGCGUGCCUAACACAUGCAAGUCGCACGAGAAAGGGGAGCAAUCCCUGAGUACAGUGGCGCACGGGUGAGUAACACGUGAAUCAUCUACCUCCGAGUGGGGAAUAACCUAGAGAAAUCUGGGCUAAUACCGCAUAACACUUACGAGUCAAAGCAGCAAUGCGCUUGGAGAGGAGUUCGCGGCCGAUUAGCUAGUUGGCGGGGUAAUGGCCCACCAAGGCGAUGAUCGGUA